CAAUAGCGUAUAUUAAAGUUGCUGCAGUUAAAAAGCUCGUAGUUGGAUCUCGGGUGCAGGCUUGCGGUCCGCCUCGCGGCGGUCACUGCUCGCCCUGACCUCCAGGCCGGUGUCACCGUCCCUUGGUGCUCUUGAUUGAGUGUCUCGGGCGGCCGGUACGUUUACUUUGAAAAAAUUAGAGUGUUCAAAGCAGGCAAUCGCUUGAAUACAUUAGCAUGGAAUAAUAGAAUAGGACUUUGGUUCUAUUUUGUUGGUUUCUAGGACCGAAGUAAUGAUUAAUAGGGACAGUGGGGGCAUUAGUAUUUAAUUGUCAGAGGUGAAAUUCUUGGAUUUAUGAAAGACUAACUACUGCGAAAGCAUUUGCCAAGGAUGUUUUCAUUAAUCAAGAACGAAAGUUAGGGGA
RNAcentral lists this ribosomal RNA (403 nucleotides) under uncultured eukaryote. RNAcentral's name for it is "bacterial SSU rRNA". It matches the Rfam family "Eukaryotic small subunit ribosomal RNA", at positions 592 to 997 of the family's 1831-position model. The record is from RNAcentral.